This 388-nucleotide ribosomal RNA is filed under the name uncultured bacterium. RNAcentral's name for it is "bacterial SSU rRNA". It matches the Rfam family "Bacterial small subunit ribosomal RNA", at positions 28 to 416 of the family's 1533-position model. The record is from RNAcentral.
GACGAACGCUGGCGGCGUGCUUAACACAUGCAAGUCGAGCGGUAAGGGCCCUUUCGGGGGUACACGAGCGGCGAACGGGUGAGCAACACGUGGGUGACCUGCCCUCAGCUCUGGGAUAAGCCCGGGAAACUGGGUCUAAUACUGGAUAUGACUCCAUGACGCAUGUUGUGGGGUGGAAAGCCUUGUGCGGCUGAGGAUGGGCCCGCGGCCUAUCAGCUUGUUGGNGGGGUGAUGGCCUACCAAGGCGACGACGGGGUAGCCGGCCUGAGAGGGCGACCGGCCACACUGGACUGAGACACGGCCCAGACUCCUACGGGAGGCAGCAGUGGGGAAUCUUGCGCAAUGGGCGAAAGCCUGACGCAGCGACGCCGCGUGAGGGAUGACGGCU